UACGGGGGGGGUAAGCGUUGUUCGGAAUUACUGGGCGUAAAGGGCUCGUAGGCGGCCAACUAAGUCAUACGUGAAAUCCCUCAGCUUAACUGGGGAACUGCGUGUGAUACUGGAUGGCUUGGAUUUGGGAGAGGGAUGCGGAAUUCCAGGUGUAGCGGUGAAAUGCGUAGAUAUCUGGAGGAACACCGGUGGCGAAGGCGGCGACCUGGUCCAUUACUGACGCUGAGGCGCGACAGCGUGGGGAGCAAACAGG
RNAcentral lists this ribosomal RNA (253 nucleotides) under uncultured bacterium. RNAcentral's name for it is "partial 16S ribosomal RNA". It matches the Rfam family "Bacterial small subunit ribosomal RNA", at positions 524 to 776 of the family's 1533-position model. The record is from RNAcentral.